RNAcentral lists this transfer RNA (72 nucleotides) under Marmota marmota marmota (Alpine marmot). It matches the Rfam family "tRNA". From Rfam's summary of the family: Transfer RNA (tRNA) molecules are approximately 80 nucleotides in length. The record is from Rfam by way of RNAcentral. Lineage: Eukaryota; Metazoa; Chordata; Mammalia; Rodentia; Sciuridae. RNAcentral also lists the same sequence under 1 other name.
UGGGUUGUGACUCAGAGGUAGAGUGCUUGUCUAGCAUGCAUGAGGCACUGGGUUUGAUCCUCAGCACCACAU